Molecule: long non-coding RNA, 211 nt
Filed under: Elaeis guineensis (African oil palm)
Lineage: Eukaryota; Viridiplantae; Streptophyta; Magnoliopsida; Arecales; Arecaceae
Description: long non-coding RNA (EGUI_LNC069184)
Source: RNAcentral
UGCAUGAUACAAAUUAUUCAUGGGUGUCUGAUGGAUAUUCAAUGAAUAGAAGAAAAAAAUUAGGCAAAUAAAGGGGGACCCAUGGGUGCAUGAAUUGCAUGAAGAUAAGUGCUGGCUGUAGGAGGAUUUGAAGCAAGCGGGCAUCAUGAGUUUUUUUUGAAGGUAGGACCCAGUAGUUUGAAUUUGCAUGGACUUCACAGACCAAACAGAG